RNAcentral lists this ribosomal RNA (1071 nucleotides) under Scaphinotus petersi catalinae. RNAcentral's name for it is "eukaryotic LSU rRNA". It matches the Rfam family "Eukaryotic large subunit ribosomal RNA", at positions 79 to 825 of the family's 3401-position model. The record is from RNAcentral. Lineage: Eukaryota; Metazoa; Arthropoda; Insecta; Coleoptera; Carabidae.
CUUAGUAGCGGCGAGCGAACAGGGAAGAGCCCAGCACUGAAGCCCGCGGUCGGAAACGGUCGCCGGGCAAUGUAGUGUUUAGGAGAGCCCGUCUAACCCGAAUGCGUAUGAUGUGUCCAAGUCCUUCUUGAACGGGGCCACUCGCCCAUAGAGGGUGCCAGGCCCGUAGUGACCGUCAUCGAGUUCGGGUGGGUUUCUCCUUAGAGUCGGGUUGCUUGAGAGUGCAGCUCUAAGUGGGUGGUAAACUCCAUCUAAGGCUAAAUAUGACCACGAGACCGAUAGCGAACAAGUACCGUGAGGGAAAGUUGAAAAGAACUUUGAAGAGAGAGUUCAAGAGUACGUGAAACCGUUCAGGGGUAAACCUGAGAAACCCGAAAGAUCGAAGGGGGAGAUUCAAUUGCCUCGCCGGUGGUGACCUCUUGUCGGCGUUUCAAUAUUGGGACGGAAUGUUUUGCAUUUUUGGUUUGCGCCUUAAUGUUUUGAACAUUUCGCCCCGUUGGCAAGAGUUUUGUUCAUGGCCGGAGGUAUGCACUUCUCCCCUUGUAGGACGUUGCAACCCGUUGGGUGCUGGUCUAAGGCCCGCGCGGUAGACCGUGGCGGCAUGCUUGUCAUGUUGACCCGGGCCCGUGGUGUUUCCCGGCCGGCUGCCCGACGGUAUAUUGACAAGCUGGUGUUGGGUCGCUGUGUCAAGCAAUUGAUACAACGAGCGUUACUUCGGCCCUUGGCAAGUUGUUAUGCGGACCGUAGAAAUCGGACUUAGUUGCCGGUUCUGCACCCAUACACACUGUUGGCUAAGGUGUCCCCUGAAACCGAUCCCAUGCAUCCGUUGGCAACGCUUCAGCUUUGGGUAAUUUCAGGACCCGUCUUGAAACACGGACCAAGGAGUCUAGCAUGUGCGCGAGCCAUUGGGACUCAAUAAACCUAAAGGCGUAAUGAAAGUAAAGAUCUUGUCUUGCACACAGAUCUAGGGAAGAUGGGCGGUACUGUGGUACUACCUCGCACUCCCGGGGCGUCUCGCACUCAUUGCGAGGUGGGGCGCACCUAGAGCGUACAUGCUGGACCCGAAAGAUG